UAUUUUAAAGAGAGUUUGAUCCUGGCUCAGGACGAACGCUGGCGGCGUGCCUAAUACAUGCAAGUCGAACGAACGGAGGAAGAGCUUGCUCUUCCAAAGUUAGUGGCGGACGGGUGAGUAACACGUGGGCAACCUGCCUGUAAGUUGGGGAUAACUCCGGGAAACCGGGGCUAAUACCGAAUGAUAAAGUGUGGCGCAUGCCACGCUUU
Molecule: ribosomal RNA, 209 nt
Filed under: Listeria monocytogenes
Lineage: Bacteria; Bacillati; Bacillota; Bacilli; Caryophanales; Listeriaceae
Description: partial 16S ribosomal RNA
Rfam family: Bacterial small subunit ribosomal RNA
Source: RNAcentral